UACGAAGGGGGCUAGCGUUGCUCGGAAUCACUGGGCGUAAAGCGCACGUAGGCGGAUGUGUCAGUCAGGGGUGAAAUCCCGGAGCUCAACUUCGGAACUGCCUCUGAUACAGCACGUCUUGAGUCCGAUAGAGGUGGGUGGAAUUCCUAGUGUAGAGGUGAAAUUCGUAGAUAUUAGGAAGAACACCGGUGGCGAAGGCGGCCCACUGGAUCGGUACUGACGCUGAGGUGCGAAAGCGUGGGGAGCGAACAGG
RNAcentral lists this ribosomal RNA (253 nucleotides) under uncultured bacterium. Its description in RNAcentral is "partial 16S ribosomal RNA". It matches the Rfam family "Bacterial small subunit ribosomal RNA", at positions 524 to 776 of the family's 1533-position model. The record is from RNAcentral.